RNAcentral lists this ribosomal RNA (446 nucleotides) under uncultured bacterium. RNAcentral's name for it is "partial 16S ribosomal RNA". It matches the Rfam family "Bacterial small subunit ribosomal RNA", at positions 330 to 792 of the family's 1533-position model. The record is from RNAcentral.
CCCAGACUCCUACGGGAGGCAGCAGUGGGGGAUAUUGCACAAUGGGGGGAACCCUGAUGCAGCGACGCCGCGUGGGUGAAGGAGCGUUUCGGCGCGUAAAGCCCUAUCGGCAGGGAAGAAGGAGGACGGUACCUGACUAAGAAGCCCCGGCUAACUACGUGCCAGCAGCCGCGGUAAUACGUAGGGGGCAAGCGUUAUCCGGAUUUACUGGGUGUAAAGGGGGCGCAGACGGCAGCGCAAGCCAGGAGUGAAAGCCCGGGGCCCAACCCCGGGACUGCUCUUGGAACUGCGCGGCUGGAGUGCAGGAGGGGCAGGCGGAAUUCCUGGUGUAGCGGUGAAAUGCGUAGAUAUCAGGAGGAACACCGGUGGCGAAGGCGGCCUGCUGGACUGCGACUGACGUUGAGGCCCGAAAGCGUGGGGAGCAAACAGGAUUAGAUCCCCCCGUA